RNAcentral lists this ribosomal RNA (406 nucleotides) under uncultured bacterium. Its description in RNAcentral is "bacterial SSU rRNA". It matches the Rfam family "Bacterial small subunit ribosomal RNA", at positions 355 to 775 of the family's 1533-position model. The record is from RNAcentral.
UAGGGAAUAUUGCACAAUGGAGGAAACUCUGAUGCAGCGACGCCGCGUGAGUGACGAAGGCCUUCGGGUUGUAAAGCUCUGUUCUCAGGGAAAAAGCAAGUGAUUGUACCUGAGAAGAAAGGACCGGCUAACUUCGUGCCAGCAGCCGCGGUAAGACGAGGGGUCCAAGCGUUGUUCGGAAUCAUUGGGCGUAAAGCGGGUGUAGGUGGCUUUUUAAGUCAGAAGUGAAAUCCCCGAGCUUAACUCGGGAAGUGCUUUUGAAACUGAAAAGCUUGAAUGUGGGAGAGGAUCGUGGAAUUCCAGGUGUAGUGGUGAAAUACGUAGAUAUCUGGAGGAACACCGGUGGCGAAGGCGGCGAUCUGGCCCAACAUUGACACUGAGACCCGAAAGCGUGGGGAUCAAACAG